GAUGAAGAACGUAGCGAAAUGCGAUACGUAGUGUGAAUUGCAGAAUUCAGUGAAUCAUCGAAUCUUUGAACGCACAUUGCACCUCUCGGUAUUCCGUGAGGUAUGCCUGUUCGAGCGUCAUUUGUACCCUCAAGCUCUGCUUGGUGUUGGGUGUUUGUUCCGCCUCUGUGUGUGAACUCGCCUCAAAACAAUUGGCAGCCGGCGUACUUGUUUCGGAGCGCAGCACAUUUUGCGAUCCAGAUCAACGUACAGCGGCAUCCAAGAAGCCUUAUUUAACGCUCUUGACCUCGGAUCAGGUAGGGAUACCCGCUGAACUUAAGCAUAUCAAUAAGCGGAGGA
RNAcentral lists this unclassified non-coding RNA (339 nucleotides) under soil metagenome. RNAcentral describes it as "partial contains 5.8S ribosomal RNA, internal transcribed spacer 2, and large subunit ribosomal RNA". The stretch from base 1 to 120 matches the Rfam family "5.8S ribosomal RNA", at positions 35 to 154 of the family's 154-position model. The record is from RNAcentral.